GGGCCUCAGCUCGCUGCUGUCAGCAGGAAGUCACAGGACUUGCUGAGCACUGAGGCCUCUGCUGGCUCUCAAAUGCUGAGUCAUUGAAAGCCCGGACACACUGCAAGUAUGACUGAGGGGAAGAACCCGGAUCAGCCCCAGAGGUUCACUCCUAACAGUAUCGUCAGUGAGUCACUUAAUGUGGCUCCGAGGAACUGGGGAAACGAGAUGGAUGAUUGGAUAAAGAAGUUGUGAGACACACACAAUGGAAUACUACUCAGCCAUAAAAAAGAAUAAAAUACUAUUCGCAGCAACAUGGAUGGACCUGGAGGUUGUCAUACUAAGUAAAGUUGAUUGAUGGAUCAAACCUUGAGUUAUUUUAGAGACAGCACUGCAUGUAUGCAAAACGGGAACCUGCAUCUCCAGGAUGACCCCAGAACCAAGAAUCUUCAGUCUGCAGAACUCAAAGAAUAGGAAUAUUGCCACUGGAGCCCUUUACUAACCGAGAAGACCUUCAGUAGGAAAAAGCUGGCUUCCAGCAGCACGUGUGGCUUAUAUCGACUGAUUCAAGACUAGCCAAUCAGCCUCCAAGCUUGAAAUUCCCCCUAAUCCCUUAUGUUUUGCCUGAACCCUGGUUUGAGGACGACAGAAUUGAGCUGGGCUUCCUGUCUUUUUGCCAGUUGGCCUCACAAUAAAGCUUUUAUUUUUCC
This is a long non-coding RNA of Camelus dromedarius (Arabian camel), 689 nucleotides long. RefSeq lists it as uncharacterized. Lineage: Eukaryota; Metazoa; Chordata; Mammalia; Artiodactyla; Camelidae. The record is from RefSeq and is a predicted model, not a curated record. The transcript has 3 exons.